This 3125-nucleotide long non-coding RNA is filed under the name Homo sapiens (human). Its description in RNAcentral is "HSALNT0158023". The record is from RNAcentral. Lineage: Eukaryota; Metazoa; Chordata; Mammalia; Primates; Hominidae.
UCAGUCAUUGAGAUGUUUCAUACCCAGUAGAAUCUGGGGUGGAUAUUUGCUUUUGUGAAUGGCCUUCACAUUAGGAAGUGCAUUUAGGAAAAUCGGGUAUUGCAUUUUCAUGGUUAUUUGAGCUCAAAGAUUUUAUUCCUUUAUUGGCCAGAUCAUUUGGUACAAAGAUCAACUAGAAAGAAAGUUUCAUGUAUUGAGUUUUUGGGAAGGGCUGUUUUAAAUACUGUUAAGACGACUGAUUUAUCUUUCUUUACUUAGUAGGGGGAGGUAGGAGGGGCAUACCAGAAUUCAGAAGUGCGACCACCAUAACCACUUCACUUUUCAAUUUAUUUUUCAGUUCUAGGAUAUAUAAGCAGACAAGGAGGGUCUCUAGGAACCAUAGGAGUUUAAUCCACGUGAGCCAUCAGCCUGAUUUACAGCUUCCUGCCCUGCAGCCUGUUCUUCCCUAAACCCUGGGUGGACUAUAGUAACCUAGUUGGUUGAAACCAGCUCCUGACAGACCCUGGCAACUUAGAGAUGAACCCUGGUGAAUCUUCCUCAUGACUGUAACGUCUCCAUCCUGGAGGAACUGUAGUUCCGUUAUCAUAACAUGUAACCCAUGUGUUGCCAUGAUGACACUGUGUCUGCACCGCUGGGACCCCUCAUCUACAUGCGAUAAUGCACCCUCUCCCCUCUCCAUCACCCCAUAAAACCCUCCUGCCACUUUCCCUCAGGGAGACACUGCUUUGGAGAAUACACCCAGUGCUCCCCUUACUUGAGCCAAGUAAUAAAACUCCUAUUGAUCAAAAUCUGCAUUCUCGUGGAGAGUCGUUUGUUGCUUGACAGGUGAAUGAACGCUGUUUGUUUUUUUCGGAUAACAAAUAUGAGGUAUUAAACAAACAAACAAAAAACCCCAGACUUGAAGCUUUCCCAUAAUAACAACAAAGAGUUUGAGUAAGAAUUCCACAGCUUGCCUUCAUCUGUGGCAGACUUGCAUGAAUCAUUUUCAAAUAAAGAUAAUAACUCAGUUGGUCUUGUAGUCCAAACAAAAUGUGCUACUUCAGGAACAUUCACUUCCUAUGUGGACUUUGCUGCUGAGUCAGUGUGAGACCUUGAACAAGUCUCUGUUUGUUUCGUACCAUUCAGAUUUCCUCGUCUGUAAACAUUAAGUAUCUACAUUCACUAAAAGUAGUUCUGAAUGAAUGUUAUUUAAUGGUGCCAAUGAUGUUGGAGGAUACCUGUGCAUCUCAUGCUGUGGUUACAGCAUCAAUUGUGAUGAAUAUAGGAUACUGAGUCCCUCCUAGAAAUGACUUCAGGAACUUCACCCCCCAACUCCACAAUCUGGGAAUGGCAGACAGAUUCAGCACCAGGAGAACAUCACAUAAAGGACAAGUGUGUAUGUUUAAAAAUGGCAAGUUUCGGCCUGGCAUGGUGGCUCACGUCUAUAAUCCCAGCACUUUGGGAGGCUGAGUCUAAGUGUACAGUGCUUGUAAAGUCUGCAGUAGCAUACAGUAAUGUCCAAGGCUUUCACAUCCACUCACCACUCGCUCACUGACCCAGCCAGAGCAACUUCCAGUCCUGAAAGCUGCAUUCAUGACUCAAUCACCACAAUUGCAAUCAAAAGACGGCUUUAGUUGGAACCUGGAACGUGCUAAUCCUGUCAGGCAGCCUGUGAUUCUGGAAGUGAAGGAACAAAAAAAAAAAAAAAAAGGGAAAAUUUCACAUAAAAUUUCCAUAUGAGGAAGAAGAUGGAAACUUUUGUGUUGUGCGUUCAGUAAAACGGGCACUUUCUUAAGCAGGUGGCAAAGAAAGCCUGAGAAUCCGGCCUGACUUUUUCAUUUCAGAACCCUGCAUUUCCCACACAGAGGAGAUAGAGCACAGCCAUUGCAUGGUAGAUCCAGCUUGCUCUCACAGCCAUUGUGCAAAUAAACAUACAUGUGGCAAGGCAGUGCAGUUUUCAGUUGUUAAAAGUUCUGUCAUGCCACGAGAUGGAGCAAAGGAUAAACGCUGAUGUAAACAGGCAACAGGACUCUGACUCCACACCCCUGUCUGCACGGAGGAUGCUCAGUCCUUACACAACAAAAUGUGAGAUGCUUCCAGUCACCUCCUGGCCCUGACCCCUGAGCUCCGUGCUCACCCCACUGGAGGUCCUGGCAGUUCUCCGAGCAGGCUGUACCUGUCUGGGGUGAUCCUCUCCACUUAAUGUUAGACAUUAAGUUCCCUGUGAAAUCUGUUUUGACUCACUGAGGUUAUGAAUAUUUUAUCACAACUAUCAUCAUAUACUACCAAAUCUCCAAUUUUCUUAUCUCCAUUACUAGACUGUGAGCUCCCUGGAGGCUGGACCUGGGUUUGGCACCGAGUGGCACUCAUACAUACUUCUUGAAUAAGAGAAUGGCUUAGAUGCCUGCUGUGCUCACUCCUGCCGAGAGGCACGGCCACCAUCUGCAGCUCCUGGCUGCACUUUCUAAACAGCUGCCUGGGUCAGUUCUUUUGACUAAGAUAUAGCCGAGUUGUACAGUUUACAAAUGAAUGGAAAAUCAUCACCCUACCAAGUCUUAAAUGGUUAUGACUCCAUCACUCAAGAAACUUCAGGAAUCAACAUUUGGUGAUCUGAAAUACACUGAAGCGUCCACGUAGUGAUGUUUGUGUGUUAGAUUCUGCUCCAUUUUCCAAUGUCUUCCCCCAUUUUCAGUCAACUCUUCAUCUCUGCAGUGGUGGCUUUAAAACAUGUCUACAAAUGCCUUGACCGUCUUUCCAGUGGGAGGCAGAGUCUAACUCCCUGUCCCCCGAAUGUGGGCUGGCCUUUGGGAAGAAAAGAAUAAGGUUGAAGUGAUGCUGCCCAACUUCUAAACCCAGUUCCUAAAAGAAAACAGCAUUAAAACAAUCUGAUAUUAUGGCCGUCAAAAUGCUUAUCCAGGCAUUCUGCAAAAAGUGAAAAUGUCUAUAUACUUGUGGCCAAGAAAGAAAAGAAAACUAUCAGUUUCUGGCUGCUUGAGCAUAAAUCUGAAGUCACUGUGUAUCUAUGUAAACGUAAAAGCAAAAGAGGAGAUGUGUCAGACUCCGUGGCACCAGGCUGAUCACAGAAUAAAGUGAAGAAAUUCCCCCUGCACAGCUGAUGGUGCCUGUUGCUGAGACAAAUACAGAGA